UAUCUAAGGAACUUGAAACUU
Molecule: non-coding RNA, 21 nt
Filed under: Caenorhabditis elegans
Lineage: Eukaryota; Metazoa; Nematoda; Chromadorea; Rhabditida; Rhabditidae
Source: RNAcentral